This is a non-coding RNA of Taeniopygia guttata (zebra finch), 977 nucleotides long. The record is from RefSeq and is a predicted model, not a curated record. NCBI's taxonomy places the organism in Eukaryota, Metazoa, Chordata, Aves, Passeriformes, Estrildidae.
AACUAGGAACUAUGUGACCCAAAGCUCAGAAGCUAAGUCAUACCAAUCGUCUCCCCAGUACUGGGGAACUGGGUUUCUGAAUUAAUCCCUUUAUGCCAGUCUUGCUUAGCUCCUGUAUAAAAUUCUGGAAGAGAGCAAAGACAGCCUCUGAACAUACAGACAAAAGGAAUUAGUGUGCCAGUGAAUUCUUGUUUUGGGGCCUUAACCUAUAUAGCUUUUUACUGAUAUCCUGCAAGACAUGAGUUCCAUGCACAAGGCUUCACAAGGUUCUCAAGAAGAGCCAGACCCACAACUUCAACAGAUUUCUCAGAGCCCUGAAUCAAAUCUCCUGCCUUAAAACUGUUUUCUGCAAAAGGCUAUUAAAUUUUUCCAAUCAGGAAACUCUCAAAGGCUAUCUUCUCACAACUGAGCCAUUGCAUUUGCAGAGCAAACAGCUUUCCACACUUUAAAUUCACAGAUCAUCUGCCUAUUGUCAAAUCUGGAUUUUUCCUUGAGCAUUCUGGAACUGAAGGCAAAGCAUUUUCUCACAACAGGGAAACAACUUUUUUUUAUGCGUUUCCAUUCUGGGAUUUCUAUUAUCUACUGCCUUGUGCUGGGUGUACCUCAGUGAACAGGCCCAAAAGAGAAGGAGAGAGCUGAAGUUCCUAUUGAACUAAGGUUUGAGGCCCAAGAAAACCAUCAUUUGAAUCAAAGCAUUUCAGAAGGUAGUUUACAAGUCUACUUCCCAAGAAGAAACCAGGAUGCAGUGUUAUCACCUUCAUGAAAUUAAAGGAGGUGGUUUUACGAUUUAGUGGAGAGAAGCCAUGCUGUUAAUUAGUCACAUUUAUUUGACAAAAAAAGUGGGGGAGGGUGAAAAGGGGAAAGGAAGUUGGGAAAGAAAAACAGAACAGAAGGGAAAAAAUCUUUAUGAUGAGGUGCUUGGCAGGAUGAAGGAACAAAAGGAAGGUUUUCUGCCUGUCUCCUGAUAUUUUCCAACU